Molecule: ribosomal RNA, 599 nt
Filed under: uncultured bacterium
Lineage: Bacteria
Description: bacterial SSU rRNA
Rfam family: Bacterial small subunit ribosomal RNA
Source: RNAcentral
AAGAGUGGCGAACGAGUGAGUAACACGUGGGUACCCUACCUCUUAGCAGGGGAUAACAUUUGGAAACAAGUGCUAAUACCGUAUAAUACCAACAACCGCAUGGUUGUUGGUUGAAAGAUGGUUCUGCUAUCACUAAGAGAUGGACCCGCGGUGCAUUAGCUAGUUGGUAAGGUAACGGCUUACCAAGGCAAUGAUGCAUAGCCGAGUUGAGAGACUGAUCGGCCACAAUGGGACUGAGACACGGCCCAUACUCCUACGGGAGGCAGCAGUAGGGAAUCUUCCACAAUGGGCGCAAGCCUGAUGGAGCAACGCCGCGUGUGUGAUGAAGGGUUUCGGCUCGUAAAACACUGUUAUAAGAGAAGAACGGCACUGAGAGUAACUGUUCAGUGUGUGACGGUAUCUUACCAGAAAGGAACGGCUAAAUACGUGCCAGCAGCCGCGGUAAUACGUAUGUUCCAAGCGUUAUCCGGAUCUAUUGGGCGUAAAGCGAGCGCAGACGGUUAUUUAAGUCUGAAGUGAAAGCCCUCAGCUCAACUGAGGAAUGGCUUUGGAAACUGGAUGACUUGAGUGCAGUAGAGGAAAGUGGAACUCCAUGUGUA